UGGCUUCUGUUCAGAAAAAAAAAGGGAGAGAGGGAGAGAGAGAGCUCUGGGGGAGAGGUCGUCGGUCGGUUGCCGGAGCACCGUGCCGGCCGCCGUCUGGUUCGCCGCCGGCAGUCUUGGACGGUGGUUUCCGAUGACCGGGAAAGGUGAAAAUUCUUCUGGAAGUUCUCUUCGACGCGAUCUUUCCAGAUUCGGUGUCCUUUUUACCGGAAACAGCCCUGAUCGACGUAGAUCGGGGCUCAAAGUUUCGGUCUCUCUUUUUUUCUUUUUUUUUUUUUCUUUGAAUCUGCUGAUCUCUCUCUUUUUUUUUUUCAGGUGGCUUUCUGGCGCUGGGUUCCCCGUUCCAGGGGACUGUUGUUUUUUUUUUUUUGUGUGUUUUUGCAGAAUUUUUUUUACAGAAGCUGCCUUCUUCUUUUCUUUUUUUUUUCGUUCCUCUUUUUAGUCUAGUUUACAAGCUCUAUUUAUAGAGCUUGUUGGGAUUCAAAUCUCAGAUUUUCUAGGAUUCGAAUCUCAUUUUUCAACUGAAAAAUCAUACCUACCGUCCGUGAUUGGUGGUUUGUCGGGAGGUUGAUCGGGUAGUUGGUCGGACCAGUUCGGCGCCGUACCAACCCCUUGACUUUUGUCUUAUUUUCGUUUCUUUUGUUUGUUUAUUUUUUGUUUUUUUGUUUGUUUUGUUAAAUAUUAUUAUUAUUAAAAUAAAACAGUAGAUCCGGACAAAAUCGGUGUCUACAAAUUUAAUUAUAUUUAUAUGAUUAAAUUUACAUUAAACAUUUCAUAUUUUAUUUUACCUGACGAGGGAUACACACUAUUAAAUUAUAAUAGAAGUCAUCCGAAUAAUUGAGUGAUAUGUUUUUAUUUUCAUAUAACAAUAUCACCAAUGUGGCAAAUCCAACUAAAGCUAUUUUUCUAUAGAUUCAUUACUAUCACACUCGUCAUUGUCAAUCUCCUGUAUUAUAGGAAUGACGUUAUCUUAUCUUAAUAGAAAUGAUUUUAAAUAAAUAAUACUAACUAAUAAAUAUUUACUUGUUAAUUGGUACAUGAAAAUUACGGAACUAUUAAAUAAUUCUUCUUGUUCCUUUUACCUAUUUAAUAGGAUUUUAUUAACAGAUCACUUAGACGGCCUAGUCAAUCUUUAAAGAAAGAAAACAGAGGCAUGAUAUUAGCCCAUCUAGUAGGGAUCAUUGUGAAUUUGUUGGAUGCUGGUGCGGAGUCAGAAUUGAAGGAACAGAAUGAUGUUGUGGGUUUAUUUGCAUGCAUGGAUUUCCCUGAAACUAUGCAUUAUGGUUUCCAGCACAUGUUAGCCUACACUGUUAGACUAUAUAUCUCCAAGAAUUCAUUAUGUUUCUUUGUGCUUUAUGGCUUUUUCAUUUCAAUGUUUCAAUUCACCACCUUUACAGUCUUAAUUUUUUUUGUUUUUUAAACAUUCAAUUUGCAGGCUACAUCUUUUAGGGGAGAUGCGAAUGUUCCUAAACUUUGCCAGCUGAAGAAUUUCUUGAGCCUCCUCAUCAGCCAUUCUGAUUCACAGAAGAUGGAGGAGAUUCAAUGUGGAGAAACUGAUGACAACGACGGUAUGUGCUACAUCUGUUAUGCUUGUGAAGCAGAUACACAGUUUGCACCAUGUUCCCACAGGUCUUGCUAUGUUUGCAUAACUAGGCAUCUUUUAAAUUCUCAAAGAUGUUUCUCGUGCAUUGCCAAUGUCUUGGAAGUCAUCAAAACCAUAGAAAAACAGUUCAAAGGCAAUUAAGAAUAUUAUUUUUGAGGGCUUGUCAAAUAAUGUGGUAGCGCAAGCAAAAUGGAAACGAAAAUGGAGAAAAAAGAAAGCGUAAAAGUCCAGUAAUCCAAAUGUUUUGUUGUUAAUAAAAUAACUAUUUAACGGUAUAUAAAAUUAUAAUAAAAUAAGAUAAAAAGGAUAUUAUGAAUAAGAUUAAAUUAAAUAAUAUUAUCAUAUUUUGUGUUUGAUAUAUAUAAAGAUUAAUAUAUAAUAAUUUAUUUAUUAAUCAAAAUUAUCUUUUUUUAAAAUUUAUAUAAUUUAAAAUAUUAAUGUAACUUUUAAGGGUAUAUGUAAUCCUAUCAUUUUGUUUAGCUACAAAUUAACAUAAUAUAAAAUGAUUAUUAUACUAUCUUAUCAAUCAUAUUCUAUGUAUUAAAUAUGCUUAAAGGCAUUUUAUUCUAUAAAUAUGAUAUGUAUAUGGCAAAGGAAAAUCUUUAGUCUCACUCUCUUUUUGAUUCAUGGUCACGUUUAAAGGUGAGAAAAAAAUCAAGAAAACCAAAAAUUGAUUUAAAACUAUAGUAUUUGGUUAGGUUCGAAAUGAUUUUUUUUAUUCGAUUUAAAUUAAGAUUAAAUAUUAAAUGUAUAUAUUAAGUUCAGAUCUAAUUUCGAAUCAGAAUAAUAAAAAUAAUUAUUUUAUAUAUAAAUCUAUUUAAAUAUAUUAAAAAACCUAUUAAAAUAAUAUAUAUAUAUAAUACAAAAAAAAUUAAGUUUUAAAAACUUAAAAAUCGAACCGAACUAAACUCAUAGAAUUAAGUUUGAAUCGAAUUGACUUAAAGAAAAAAUCAAUUCAAAUUUAAAUCUAAUUUUAAAAAUUCAUAAUAUUAUAUAUUAUAAAAAAAAUAUUAAAUCGAAUUCAAUCCAAUUCUAACCAUUACCAACCCUAGUCACAUUUUAUAAGAAAUAAGUUCUAUUGUUGUUCUAAUUAUUCAUUAUCACAAGUGGCAUAGAUCUUUUUAGUAUUUGACUCCCAUGGUAUGUGUACAUAUCCUUUGUUCAAAGAGUAAAAUGCCAAGUGCGUGAGACCACUCAUAUUUGUUGGCGACCAUAUUCAUAAAUCAUACUAGGAGCUAAGCAUUUCUUGGUCUCCGGGAGCUAAGCUAAAAGUAGCCAUUAAAACAGAUUGGAAGGGAAAAAAAUCUUUUGCAACCUUUUUUAAAUUGACGAUCAAACUUGAAAACACUGUCAAAUAAUCAAUGGAUCAGUAGUCACUUUACAAGAAAAUUUUCAAGAAAAAGAAAUGUGAUAACUACCCCAAAAUCACAAGGCUGAAAACCAAUUGAUGAGGAAUGAAAAUGAAGAGAAAAAAAAUCAACAAUGCGGUCAAGGAAUGACAAAAAUGAAUUCCAAGACUGAAUGUACAAAAUUUCAAAGGGAUAUUGUACAGAGAUCCUCAAAUACUUGUCUGAUGUUAGGCCUCCCAUUUACAGGAAGAAUACACCUUAGUGAUAUGGCAAGCAAAUCUUCCAUGGCUUUUGUGUGUUCUUCCCCACUAGCAAUGUCUCUGUCAACACAGUCCAUUCCCCGUCCUUCUUGAUCACAUAAUCGAACCCAAUCUGUCAGAUCCACUGCUCCUGAUUGACCUGAUAUUAUGUCACCAGCGCUUCUUCUUGUUAACAAUUCCAUCAGGAUAACUCCGAAAGCAUAGACAUCAGCCUUAAAUGAUGGGACUGGUUUAGAUGCAGAAGCAAGUUCGGGCGCACGAUAUCCAAGGGCCCCCAGAUUCAAUAUCUGCUCUGCAAUGCCAG
This 3516-nucleotide long non-coding RNA is filed under the name Durio zibethinus. RNAcentral's name for it is "long non-coding RNA (DZIB_LNC000334)". Lineage: Eukaryota; Viridiplantae; Streptophyta; Magnoliopsida; Malvales; Malvaceae. The record is from RNAcentral.